CAGCCUCCUUAUUAUUAUCACUCUCCACCUCCUCCAACACCAGUUGUUAAGCCACCAUACUACUACCAAUCUCCACCUCCUCCAUCUCCAAAACCUAAGCCUCCAUACUACUACCAAUCUCCUCCUCCUCCAUCACCAAAACCUAAACCUCCUUACUACUACCAAUCUCCACCUCCUCCAUCACCAAAACCUCAGCCUCCAUACUACUAUCAAUCUCCACCUCCUCCAACACCAGUUGUGAAGCCACCAUACUACUACCAAUCUCCACCUCCUCCAUCACCAAAACCUCAGCCUCCUUACUAUUACCAAUCUCCACCUCCUCCAACACCAGUUGUUAAGCCACCAUACUACUAUAAAUCUCCACCUCCCCCAUCACCCUCUCCUCCACCACCAUACUACUACAAAUCUCCACCACCACCAUCCCCAUCACCGCCACCUCCAUACUACUAUAAAUCUCCACCUCCACCAUCACCGGUUGUUAAGCCACCAUACUACUAUAAAUCCCCACCUCCCCCAUCACCCUCUCCUCCCCCUCCAUACUACUAUAAAUCUCCACCUCCAUACUACUACCACUCUCCACCUCCACCAUCACCAGUUGUUAAGCCACCAUACUACUACAAAUCUCCACCUCCACCAUCACCCUCACCUCCCCCUCCAUACUACUAUAAAUCUCCACCCCCACCUUCACCAUCCCCUCCUCCUCCAUACUAUUAUAAAUCACCACCACCACCAUCCCCAUCACCGCCACCUCCAUACUAUUACAAAUCCCCUCCAC
Molecule: long non-coding RNA, 775 nt
Filed under: Phaseolus vulgaris (common bean)
Lineage: Eukaryota; Viridiplantae; Streptophyta; Magnoliopsida; Fabales; Fabaceae
Description: long non-coding RNA (PVUL_LNC001945)
Source: RNAcentral